AGGACCAAUGAGCCCCAGUGCAGUCUGACCAGCUUGUUCUGUUCUGCAUUGAGCAGCCGUUCGGGUAGUGGCCAAUGCCAGGCAAAUAACACUCGCCACUGAGAUAUAGGGAGGUGGUGUGUACUUAUUGGAUCCAUGGCCCUGCCACUCAAAUGUGGCUUUCAUAUGGCAGUACAAUCUGGACAGCAAUCUUGUUUUUGUUUCUUACUGUGGGUCUGUCCCCACUCCUGCAACAUCUCCCAUGCAAAACUGAUGGGGAACUACGAAACAAAAACAGAAAGAAACCUGGCAUCCUGCCUCCCAGCUCACAUCUGUUGCUGGCACGUGCUGUUUUUUCAGAAGUGCCAUAAUCAUCACUACCACCACCAACAGCCACUCCACUCUCCUGACAGGCAAUGCAGGAAUCUCAAGUGCCAUGCCUGUGCCAAAUCUGGAGGCCCUGGGGCUGUUUUGACGGUUCAGGCAAGAGUCAGACAUGAGCAACAGAAUCCACAAAGACCGCUCCUGAGGGCCUCAGCCUUGUCCCAGGGUGAAUUCAAGGCAGAAGACAAAGGAAGGGAAGUAAACAAGGGUGCUGUUUCCAGCUCCAGCUUAUCAUGUCGCUCUCUUCAGAGCAGGCUUUCCCCCAACCGGGGUGGGGGGGUGGGGGGGAGGCCUUAACAAAGUCAGCCACUUUCAUUUCAUGUUUUAGAGGAGAGGAGGGGAAAGCAGCAAAACAGAACAAAACAAAACACUUUAGAAAAACCCACCCCUUUCUAUUUUCCUAGUUUUGAACUUCCACUAAAAUUCCCUACCCUGAAAUGCAAGGUCCUGAUUCUCAAGAGCGCUCCUCUUGCCAGCUAACACUGAUUUUCUUCCUAGAGAGAACCUUGGAAUCCUGCCCAGCCGCUUUACCUUGUGCCCUGCAUAGAAGGCAAUUUCUUCAGAGUUGGCCACCACUCGGGAAUGCAUGUAGCGCAGCUCCCCUUUCCGGCGCGCCUCCUCAGCCACCAGUUGACCAAACUUUGGCGAACAGACACGGAGCACCUUGGCAGUGAUGCAGACCACCAGCCCAGCAAUCACUGAGGGCCAGGCUGUGCCAGCUCCUUUCGAUCUGGCUGAACUGAUCAGAGUGUAAGAGGUCACGAUGAGAUCAAGCACUGGCUUGGUCAGGUUUGAGUAGAGGUGAGCCACAGAGUUAGCGAAAGCCACCAGGUCCUCCGUUAGAGACUGGUCUGGGUUGCGCAGGCGUCCGUCCAUGUUGCUGACCCGGUAGUAGGUCUGGCCCUCAAAGUAGAGCCGAUAGCCAUGGUCCACUAAGCGUCCACGGAAGGCCAGGCUCAGCUGUCCCUCCAGAUACCGAAUGGCACUGUUGACAAAGGUGGCUGGGAGGGCAAUGAGGAGCCAUUGGAGAAGCUGCCAUGUAAAGUCAUGAGGGUUCUUGCGGACGAUGCAGCGGGCCAAACGUCCAUCCAGCUGGGCCACGUAGACGGAGAGGAACGUGCGGCUGGCUAGGGCAGCUGAGUGCAAGGCCAGGAGUCCUGUUUCCCGGCACAAGAGUCCAGGGAAGAGUAACCGCAGGAGGCGCAGGAGGCGGAAGAAGAACACCCUGUUCACACCAGGUGGUGAUGCCGUCACCUCAUCUGGUGAGCCCCACUUGGCUGGUGGCUCCCCAGGACUGGGGUUUCUGGUGGCGUUGCGGUUCACCUGGAGGUCAGAGGCAGCCCACUGCCGGAGGAUUGGGUAUAACUUCUUGGCACCGUAGGCUGCCACCAAUACUGCCACCACUGCUCUUUUUGCUGUGACUCCCUGCGCCAGCCGGGCUGCCACUUUUGCUGUGGCAACUGGCAUCAUGCCACCAGGUCGGGGCACAGCCCCUUGCCCUGGCUUCCUCUUCUGCCUUCCUCCUGCUCCUCCAGUUCGAGUGCAAUGCUCUCUGCCUAGCUCUGACAGCGCUGACUCGCCAGCCAGAGUCCGCUCUCAUCCCACAACGCCCAACCCUCUCACUGUGACUAGAUGGGAGGGGACUGAGAGAUGGCCAUCCCUCCGAUCAUAGAGAAAGCCCGAGGCCACCAUAGAGAGGACAGAGCAGAGGAGUGCGGGACGCUGUUUGUUUGAUUGAGGAGGCCACCAGAUGGCGCUGAGGAGAAUGUUAGAGGAAAUACAGAGUUCGCAUGUAGAAGCCGUGGAUACCGAUCCAUUUUUAGCCGAUAGGUGUUCGAUCGUGUUUUUCAGUCCACGCAUCAUAAGUAAAACCUCAUUGCCCGGAAUGGUCUUAUUUCCAACGACAUCUGUUUGGGAUUUUGGAAGGCUGAAAACUAAACUCUAUACGCCUGGAUACAUGCAUAACUAACAAGUGCAGGAAAUAGGGCUUCUAAAAAUAAACGCAUUAUUUGUCCUCUAAUAACCGGAUGCUGAGAGGAAGACAAUUAUGCGUUUCCCAAUUAUGGCAGUGUCAAGGGCUUGGCAACAUCUGAUUAAUUUAAUGCGUCAAUAAGUGCUCCCACAGAGAGAACAUAAGAACGGCCCUGCUGAAUCUGACUAAAGGCCCAUCAUGUCCAGCAUCCUGUCUCCCACAGUAGCCAACAAGAUGUUUCUGGGAAGCCCACAAGCAAGACAUGAAGGCAAUAGCCUAUUCCAAUUGCCACAGAGGAGUGAAGAGAAGGGGGUAAAAGUGAUGGCUACUCAUAGAAGGACCCUUGAUUUGGAAGCAACACGCCCUCUCCCCGCCAAAAAACUAGGAGCAAAGAAAGUAUUCCCUCGUGAUCUUUCAAAUGCAGCUUGACGGCACCGAGGCUGAGUGACUUAUGCAAAACCUUGCAUGUAACAGCCGUCUUGCGAAGAUCCAGCUCCCUUGAGAAGUCCAUAAUGCUAGGGAAAGUGGAAUGAAAAAGAAGAGGACGACCAGCAGCAAGUUGGAUGGACUUGAUUACGACAGCAGUGAAUGCACCACUGACAGACCUUAAAGGCUAAGUUGAAGCCCGAUCAUCCUGGAGAGAAUCUAUUUAUGUGGUCGCUAAGAGCUGACACCGACUUGACGGCACGGAAUCAAUCAAUCAACCAACAGCAGUCUACUGUUAACAUCCCAAUAUGGCUGGUUUAAGGUUGCGAGAGUAAUCUACAACAACCGUGCAGAGUCGACCAGUGUUCUGCUGUAUGAUGCUGUUCAUGUAGUCCAGCAUUAUUUAAACA
Long non-coding RNA from Hemicordylus capensis (graceful crag lizard), 3171 nucleotides. RefSeq lists it as uncharacterized. The transcript has 5 exons. Lineage: Eukaryota; Metazoa; Chordata; Lepidosauria; Squamata; Cordylidae. The record is from RefSeq and is a predicted model, not a curated record.